UACUAGGGGAGCAAGCGUUGUUCGGAUUUAUUGGGCGUAAAGGGAUCGUAGGCGGAUUGAUUAGUCAAAAUUUAAAUACAAUGGCUUAACCAUUGACCUGGUUUUGAUACUGUCAAUCUUGAGUUAUAUAGAGGUAAGCGGAAUUCCUGGUGUAGCGGUGAAAUGCGUAGAUAUCAGGAGGAACAUCAAAGGCGAAGGCAGCUUACUGGAUAUGGACUGACGCUGAGGAUCGAAAGCGUGGGUAGCAAAC
Molecule: ribosomal RNA, 250 nt
Filed under: uncultured bacterium
Lineage: Bacteria
Description: partial 16S ribosomal RNA
Rfam family: Bacterial small subunit ribosomal RNA
Source: RNAcentral